AUGCCACCGGAUAGAGACAUUGAGUUUCUGAUAGAGCUAUUGCCAGGUACAGGGCCCAUAUCCAAGAGACCCUAUCGGAUGCCCGCAAAUGAUCUGGAGGAAAUUAAGAAGCAGGUCAAGGAGUUGUUGGAGAAAGGUUAUAUUCGAAGGAGUUCAUCACCUUGGGGAGCUCCAGUACUUUUGGUGGAGAAGAAGGAUAAAUCCUUAAGGAUGGUUGUUGAUUAUCGAGCCUUGUAG
RNAcentral lists this ribosomal RNA (237 nucleotides) under Triticum aestivum (bread wheat). RNAcentral's name for it is "partial small subunit ribosomal RNA". The record is from RNAcentral. Lineage: Eukaryota; Viridiplantae; Streptophyta; Magnoliopsida; Poales; Poaceae.